UAUUAAUAUAUUAAGUGGCUUUAAACCAAUUAAAAUAUACACUAAGUAAAUAUAAAUUAUAUAUUAAGUAUAUAAAAUAACUUCAUAAAGAUCUAGCCUGGUGCACUUUGGAAUAGGGGAGUGGUGUCAGAACAACAUGACCCUGCAAUUCUGCAGAACAAGUGCAAAGUAAGAUCUUUGCUUCAGCAACAAACAGAAGCUACUAAAGUAGCUGAAAUGUGCAAUAUGCCUAGAAAAAUUGGCAGAUAUGAGCAAAAUAAAUUUGGAAGUUACAAAGGCUUGGAGAACAAAAUGAGUAAAAGAAAUCCUUGGGUUUGAUGAGAAUGUUGUAAUUUGAGUUGAGCCAAUCGAUUGGAAGUGAAGGACUGAACCAAAAUGGAAGAUAUUCCUUGUACCUGAAGUACAUAGUACCGUCACUUUAUUAGGUUAUAGCAGAGUGAGCAUCCCAUUGUGGCUCUGGCCCAACUCCCUUGGGUAUAUUUGGAGAAUCCAGAACCCAGAAUUAUGAAAAUCAACCUGAUGGAGCUUUUGAAUGGAAAAUAAAGUGCUAGAGAGUUAAGUUUAUGGGAGAACUGUGGCCCAUCAUCCUACAAGACCAUCUGCUUUCCCAGACCUAAAGAAGAAAUAAAACAGAGACAGAAUGAAAAACAGGCAUCUAUGAAAAGGCAAGAUGAAAACAAAGAUAAGAGAGCAAGAUGAAAACAAAGAUAAGAGAGAUAAGGAAGAAAAAGCAGCUGAGGGACGCCUGGGUGGCUCAGUCAGUUAGGCACUCUACUUCGGCUCAGGUCACAAUCUCACAGUUCACGAGUUCCAGCCCCACAUUGGGCUCUGUGCUGACAGCUCAGAGCCUGAAGCCUGCUUUGGAUUAUGUGUUUCCCUCUCUCUCUGCCCUUCCCUAACUCAUGCACGUCUGCAUGCGCGCGCGCGCGCGCGCACACACACACACACACACACACACACUCUCUCUCUCUCUCAAAAAUAAACAUAAAAAAUUAAAAAAAAGAAAAAGCAGCAGAGAGAAAAGGGAGAGAAUGCUUCUUGAAACCCCAAAAGACUCUAAUCCAUGUCUCCUUUCCCUAGAAGACAAUCCUGCCCAGUCAUGAGAUAACGUGUAGUCAUGUUCAACCUUCCCAUCAGAACCAAGAGCCAAGGACCAAGAAUCCUUCCUUGCUCCAGGAAAAUAGAAAACUCCAGCACUCUCAGAACCUUUAGGAACAAUAAAAAGAACCUUCAGUACAAGUCACCACUUCUACUGGUGACAUCCUAAAGUUCCCCUGCCGAAACCUGUACCAGAGCCUAUGAAACUUUUCAGAGGGAUGGGGGAGGAAAGGAAAAGGAAAAAAAGACGACUUGACCAAGAUCUCACUCUCCUCAUACUCCACCUAGAGGGUGCACAGAUCCCAUCACGAUUAUAUUCAUCUAGAAGACCGCCAUGCCUGAGGAGGUGGCAAUCUAUUUCCCUGAAGAACUCCACCAAGGCUUAGAAGGGAAAGCUCUCCAGUGAGACACAAAAAAGGAUUCAUCAGCAUCCUUGUCUAGGAGUAGCUCAUUGUCCACUUUGUCUUGUCCAAUCAGAAAGAAGCCUCCCAAGAGAGCAUCCAGGUCCCUCAAAAACUUGUAGGUUAUAUCCUUCAGCAAGCCCUCCAACGUGAAGACACCGGCCAACACCUCCAGCAACUCCACCGCCAAAAAUUCAACAUUCCCCAACACCCCAGCAGCCAGGCUAUAUCAGAAAAACUCGUGUUUCUGUAUCUCCAAGGAGAACUUCAGGUAAAGUGACAAAAUAUAAAGGUAAUAAGCAAAGAGGCCCUCUCGUCAGCCAUGAAGUGGAGAAAAGUAGAAUUUUCUGAAUCUAAACACCGUAACGGUGGCGAAAUGGCUGCUGCAGAUUCUGUGCAGUAGAGACACCAAACCAGAUGACAAAACCAGCAGUUUUCAUCUGACUCUGUUCCUCCUCUUCAGAAAAUAAUGAUGAGUUACUUACUGAAGAGGUCCCAUUUGAGAAAUGGUGAGGUAGGUGACUUCGAGGAAGGCCUUUCUCACCACGCAAGCAAAAGGGGAAGGAAGAGGGUUUCCUUGAAGUAGAGGAAGUCCCUCCUCUCACCCAGUAAAGGACUCCAUUUUCCUUCUCUCUCUCCUCCUCACAGGUGCUGGUCUUCCAUAACACUACGAAGGGAAGCACCCCCUUCUCGUACCCCACAUCAGUAUUCAACAUUCCCAAGAAUGGUCUCCUCUAAAGCACAGGAGAUACCCUUCUACUCCCCAUCUUAAAAAAGGGCAUCACUAUGUCCACCCAAAGCACAGGGGCUCCCAUUCUUCACCUCUCAAAGAAGUCACCACGACACUUUGCAUUGGUAUCAAAGCAUAGGAAAAGGUCUUCCCUGAGCCAAUCUACCUGGGAACAGCAUUCCAUCUCCUGGUGGUCUCUAGCUCUGCAGACCUCAAGUCCUUAUCCCCAUUUGGCUCAGUCUCCUGAGCCAGUAGCUAAAAACCCCAAGCACCUCCAUUCCCUGUCCAGUCUUAGUCACCCUGUCUAAGCACGUCACCUUUGUUACGGAUCAAAGACUAAAAGCCUACCAUCAGACCCAACACUGGCAAGGAAUUCCAAAGAAGGGUAUAGAAAGAAAAAAAAGAAAAAGAAAGAAAAAAAGCACAAGAACCACAAAAGGAUAAAAGGAGUAAAACAAGCAGAAAAAAAAAAAAACAGAAGGAAGAGGCUAUGGCUGCAGCUGCUACAGCUAUUUUAAUUCCUGCAGCCAUUGCUGUUCCCACAGCCACAUCAGCACAGGAAGAACGAGGAGCAGAGCCAGAGACUAAGGAGACUUAAAGUGAAGCUGAGGAUAACCUUGAUAACUUUAAAAUCACCUGUGUAGGCCCUGAGAUCAAUGUGGAAAGUUCAAGUGUCUCCAGUCAUAGAUGGAAAUGUCUGUCAUUAUGUAAAGUUUAUUUGGUCUGUAUGCAACUCAAUACUGAAAUAGCAAAAAUGUGUUUGAACUUUAUAACAUUUGUUGUAAUAAAUGAUAAGUUGAAGUCAGUGAUGUUAAUACAUGGGGGAGAGGGCUCCUGGGUGGCUCAGUCCGUUAAGCCACCACUGAUCAUGACCUGAGCUGAAACCAAGAGUUAGAUGCUUAACCAGCUGAGCCACCCAGGUGCCCCAAAAUCUAUAUAUGUUUAAAAUAAAACUCUAAAGAAAUUAGGAAUAAAAGGAAAUUUCCUUAAAGGACAUCUAACAAACAAAAAAUAAAACAAAAAUAAAAUAGCAAUUAUAUUUGAUAGUGAAAAGAUGGGUAAAACAAAGAUGCCCACUGUAUUAUUUAUGUCAUGCUGUGUAAUGUACUACCCUAAAACAAUAAACAUUUUUACAUCA
Molecule: long non-coding RNA, 3367 nt
Organism: Neofelis nebulosa (Clouded leopard)
Lineage: Eukaryota; Metazoa; Chordata; Mammalia; Carnivora; Felidae
Exons: 2
Source: RefSeq, a predicted model, not a curated record